Long non-coding RNA from Corapipo altera (White-ruffed manakin), 602 nucleotides. RefSeq lists it as uncharacterized. Lineage: Eukaryota; Metazoa; Chordata; Aves; Passeriformes; Pipridae. The transcript is spliced from 4 exons. The record is from RefSeq and is a predicted model, not a curated record.
AUCCUCACUUCCAGGGGCAGGGCUGAGCUGCAUCACCAAGGGAACUUUUGGAUGCUCCUGCGUUUGCUUGCUCAGUUUGCCUCUGUGGAGCUAUGAGACAGACAAGCAGUGCACCAAAAUGAUGGAGAAUUUCAAUUAUAAUAAGGGACUCCUUGCAGUCUUCCUGAUGUGAACUGCACCAGUAAAGCAUAAAAGCAGGGUAUGAAAGGAAAAGUUAAUCCUGGGAUCUUCAAAGCAAAACCCAGUGACUUCAGUCAAAAUUAUUUGGACAUGGGAAAAAUCCUGAUAACUACUGUCACACACAGAGUGACACAUGGACAUGUCCACUUACUUUGACUUUUGGGAAGUGGCAGAGGAGGAGGAAAUGCAAGUACCAGAUCAAAAGAGCAAGAGUUUUCAAGUUGUCAGCAUGACUGUUUACCCCAGCAGGAAAUCCUCCAAGAUUCACAGUUGUGUUUAGGAGCAUGGAAUAGGUGGUGGACAGCCCAAAGAUCCAGACACCACCUUAUGUUUCUAACCCUUUCUUGUAAUAGUAUCUCUUCUCAGUCUUUACCAUUUUGGACAGGUUUCUCAGAGGCUCAUCCUGUCUUAUUUUUAAUGAA